This 606-nucleotide long non-coding RNA is filed under the name Homo sapiens (human). RNAcentral's name for it is "non-protein coding lnc-TNK2-3:1". The record is from RNAcentral. Lineage: Eukaryota; Metazoa; Chordata; Mammalia; Primates; Hominidae.
UCCUCCCAGUUUGCUGAAUCAGAAUUUACAGUUCACCAAGAUGCCCCGGUGAUUCAGCCGCACACAGUUCCAGAAGCCCUGAGCUAGUUCGUACAGUGUUCUUUACCCACGCUCAUCUCCCUGGCCUGAAUCACAGCGUGUUUGACUUGCUCAAGUUGUAGCCAUGGCUCUCCGUGUUUUGACUGUGACCUACAGAAAGAAACGGACUUUACAACGAGGAAGCAAGUACACCACAGAAACAAUGCCUUCACUACCUGGGGUGCACUCUGCACUCCCAUUCAUUCAGCAGGUAGUUUUGGCACCUGCUUUGCGCCAGGCCUCAUUCUAGCUGCCUGUGUCUAGAAGCCCCGGUUGUUGGGAGGUUUCUAUUCUAGGAGGAGGGCAAGGGGAUCAGAAAGUUAAAAGUAAACCAUGUAUAUAAAGGGCACGCUAAAAGAUAUUUAUUAAAAUCUUUUUUUUUAAAUUACAUUUUUAGGGUAGGGUUCUGGGGUGCUGGUUAUGUUCCAUUUCUUGAUCUGGGUGCUGGGUGUAUUACCUGUAAGAAUGCAAGCUUUCAGCACUUCUCUGGAGGUAUGCUGUACGUCAAUAAAAAGUUCAAAAAUUACA